GGUGUUAAGAACAGGUUCAUGUUCCCCGCGGUUGUUUAUAUUUCUCGUGUGGAGGUGAGAGGACAGCUUCCCUUACACCAUGAGGCUUCAUGGUGAGUCAGGCUGAAGAACAGAGACAAAUGCACUCACUCUCUUUUAUCUCAGGGAUGCACGCUACAGCGUGUGAAGACUUUGACAUGCGUUAAGUGGGAAAAUGACUCAGGGUGCCAAAUACCGAGUGCCCCAUUUACAUGAAGAACAUAGCAGUGUUCACCGUGGAAUGGACGCUGUUAGGAUCUGGGUGUCCGGAGAAGCAGGAAGCUGCAGUCAACACCAGCAUUUUCCUGGAUUCCAGCAUCUUUGCCAAGGCUUGGUGACGUGAACAGAGACCCUUGCGACAUAGACUAAAUGUUGGAAAUCUCACUCCGUCCCGACUGGCCAUCUCCUGCCACAAAAUGAGGCUUCCAGUAGCAGGACUGGAUUGUAUUGAAUUGAGUUCUUGGCCCAGAGGACCCCAUGGAAAUCCCCAAACAACACAAGCUGUUGCUAAAACAAAUGUUUGCUCUCCACAAACUGAGAGUGGGCUCCAUCGCUGAGGGAAACACACACCCAAGCCAUUGAACAUGGAGAUGUCAAGCUGGCGCCUCACACAGAGACUUUAUCCCUACGUUCUAGUCUCUCUGGUGUGGGAAGGUGCCCUCCAGGCUACCAGGAGAGGAACACAAACACCAGUCCAGGCAUAAAACCUUUGACCUACAAUCGGUCCUGCCUGCAAGACGUGCUGGGGAGAUGGUGACAUAGAAAUUGUGGGCGUAACCAACCAAUAUCUGAUAUGACUUAAAGCCCACUCCAUGAGAUGGAACCCAUACUUGACACUGUGUGACUAAGAACCAGAAACUGGACAGGCAAGAGGCCCAGGGCAAAACCAAAUGCUAAUGGUCUUUGACAAAAUAGUAUCAAUAAAGUGACUUCUAAUGAUGUUCUGCCAUACUCAGAGAUCAGUGCCUUGUUCAGUCACCAUCAGAGAAGGUUCCCUCAGGCGGGCAGAUAGGAACAGAUAGAAUGCAGCUAGACUUUACACAGGAAGAGCAUCCUUGGAAUACUCAGCCCUGAAUGGGCCAUCUUCACCAAAUCUCUCUGCUCAGAGCUCGGGGAGCCCCGGGGAAGAGGACGGAGGAGGCCAGCAAUGCAGCGCCUUGAAGCUCUUGAACUGGACUUUGGUUUGCGAGAUGAUUUCAGCUUGUAAAGAUCUGAUGUGAAGCCUCCGCCAGUGUAUUCAGGAAUCACUGAGGCUGGCUGUGGCUCUGUGUAGCGAAGGUUUGAUAUAAAAAUGGAACCACGGUGUUUGGGGGAACUGUUUAGCUCUGUGGUGAUUCUGUCCUGUGAAAAUUCGAUGCAAAAAAUCUAUAGCUUUGAAGAUGUAACCA
This is a long non-coding RNA of Mesocricetus auratus (golden hamster), 1406 nucleotides long. RefSeq lists it as uncharacterized. The transcript is spliced from 2 exons. Lineage: Eukaryota; Metazoa; Chordata; Mammalia; Rodentia; Cricetidae. The record is from RefSeq and is a predicted model, not a curated record.